CAGCAGCCACGGUAAUACGUAGGUGGCAAGCGUUGUCCGGAAUUAUUGGGCGUAAAGGGCUCGCAGGCGGUUUCUUAAGUCUGAUGUGAAAGCCCCCGGCUCAACCGGGGAGGGUCAUUGGAAACUGGGAAACUUGAGUGCAGAAGAGGAGAGUGGAAUUCCACGUGUAGCGGUGAAAUGCGUAGAGAUGUGGAGGGACACCAGUGGCGAAGGCGACUCUCUGGUCUGUAACUGACGCUGAGGAGCGAAAGCGUGGGGAGCGAACAGGAUUAGAUACCCCAGUAGUCCCUGUCUCUUAUAC
Molecule: ribosomal RNA, 301 nt
Filed under: uncultured bacterium
Lineage: Bacteria
Description: partial 16S ribosomal RNA
Rfam family: Bacterial small subunit ribosomal RNA
Source: RNAcentral